GGGGAUCGUCUGCCUGGCUCUUGCCAGGACUCAUUAAUUUCAUAUUAACUUCAGAGAUAAUAUUGUGGUAUACUAAAACCACAUAUUCAAAUCUUUUACAAUGCCAAGUUUAAUACAAAACUUCAACCAUAAUAUGAUACUAAAGGAUUUACAAUUACAAAAGUCUUCACAUUAACUCCCUAAGAUCCCUCGUUCAUUCCCCUACCACCAACUCCUGUAAGGAAAACAAAGCUGAGGGGAUGAGCUUACGCCCAGUGAGGUUUCCAUGCAAGCAACGAUCAAUAAACACUUAAACCAGAUAAGCCAGUAACAAAAUUAAGCAACUAAGGAACACUUCACUGAAUAAAGUAGAGAACACUUCAUUGAACAAUCACUUUGAAAAGGAUACGGUGCUGGCAUUAGAGCCACUUCCUUCUGGGAGUUAGUUCAAUAUCAUUGCACACUCAUUUCAAUGUCAUUGUUCAUUUAUUUCAGUGUCAUGAGACACUCAUUUCAAUAUCAUUGCAUACUCCGCCAAUUCACCUCCUUAUGUCCUCCAAAAUAAUAAACAAUCCCCUGCAUUCAAUGAUUAGUUUAAUAAUCUCCCAAUUUCAAGAUAAUACUCGAGUAUAUCGAAACAUUUACCCAAAGCUUCCAUCCUAUCCGACCAAGCCCUUUGCUGGCUCGAAUAGUCCGUUGAACAGAGGGUUUUGAGGCCUAGUUCAGCCGAUGUGGUAAAGUACACACACGGCUUACAGUCAUGCACACUUACAAUAACACUUGAUCAAUUAGCAACUUUCAAGCUCAAACUAAGUCAAGUGCGAUAAAGUACACACCCGACUUAGAAGGCGAUGGACAAUUGACAUAUACUUUACAAUGAAUCACUAGCAAUAUUCCAUAAUAAGCACAUUUAUCAUAUAAUUUCAUUUAAGCAAACAUAAACAGUUAAACACAUAAAUUCGGAAACACUCACCAAAUAUCCAAAUAAAUUACUCUCGAGCCUCGGAUUUGUUUUCUGGCUCAUAGCUAUCCCCUGAGACAAUUUAUAACUCUAAAGUAAAUAUACAAUUCAUAGAUCACCACUUAUCAUUUAUUACCUUUUAUGAUUUAAACUAUUAAAGUCAAGUUUUGGCUUUAAAACAUAAAAUAUAACAUAUUUUAUAUUUAUUUUACAUUUUUUUUCAAAAUUUAUUAAUUUUAUUAUUUCAAACCAAGAAUUAUACAUUUUUCCCAAGUUUGUAUCUUUAUAUAAUAUUUAAAUCAGGAAUAUAUCUUUCUCAAUUCAAUUUUCAUUAAUUAUGGCUUAUAGACACUCCAUUUGUUCCCUUUUAAAUCAACUAAACUCUAAGUUGUUUGUAAAUUAAACUUUUUAUUCCACUACACCAGCCCCUCAAGUUCUAAAGUCUUUAAAAUAUUCAUGAAGACAAUGUUAAGUUAUUGUAGACACCAAAUUUUUAAUUUAGUUUUAUUUACUAUUAUUUUUAUUUUCAUUGAUUAAAUGUUAAUUAUUAUUAUUCAUUUUUAGUCUCUUAGUUUUUAUUUUUAGUAUUUAAAUUUCAGAAUAAGAAAAUUUUCACAAAAAAAGUUGUUUUAAUCAUUUUGGAUUCAAUUUGAAAAAUAUAUAUAAUUUUGUUUCUUUACUUAAAUAAAUUUUUGAAAGAAAAAAUACAAAAAAAAAUAAAAUAAUAAGGAAGAAUGUGUGAAUAGGUGUAAACUUGCAUGUGAGACAAGUGUCCCUUUAUGUAUUUGACAACACACCACCUAGAAGGUGAGGUGUUGAGACACUUGGAGGCCUAAGAUUUGAAGGAAAAGAAAAAACAAAAAGAAAAUAACGAAAAGGGAAGGAGAUGUGGCGGCUAGGGUAGAAAAAAAAGGCAACAAGAAGAAAAAUGGGGGGAUGCUAGAAAAAUGGGGAGCUUCGUCUGAGAGCCAAAAAAAAAAAAGAAUAGAGCAAAAGGAAAAAGAGUGAGAAAAACAGAGAAAAAAAAAGGGCGGCGGACGAGAGGGAAAAGAAGAGGAGUGCAAGAACUGAAGAACAGGGGAAGAGAAGGGGGAACCUGAGAAAUUUGGAAAGGAGCUUCAGAGCUGAAAAAAGAAAAAAAAUAGAGGGAAGGAGGGAGAAUCCGGGAAAGAAAAAGAAAGAAAAAAAAAACAGAGGGGAAGUGAAGGAACAUUAGAAGAACGAGGCGGGUUCAUCAGAAGAGCCACCGGAACCGCCGCCGCUCGCAAGAAGCUGCCACCACCUCACCGGAAUCCAUUGUCAUUGCCUACGGAUUUUCACCGAGCAAGAGGAUUGUAAGCCAUCUUUUUCCCUUUGAAUAUCAGUUUUUUUUCUUCAAGCACAAACGCUGGAAAUCCCAAAGCAUGUCUUUUGUGAAUUUGUUAUUGCAAUUUUCCUGUUGAUUGUCUAUAAUUUUUUGAUCGCACACGCUUUAUGGGUUAAUUGGACUGAAAUCCCUUGUUUUCUGACUAUUUUGGGGCUGAUUGUAACUUCAAUUAAGCAAACAAUAGGUGGAUUUUUUAAUGCCCAUUUGUUGUUCGAUGAAAUGCCUAAUUGAAAGUUUUACUUGAAAGACGGCUCAUCUGCGUUUUGCGUGUGGAAAAAAAUGAACAGAGAGCAAGUUCAAUGUUUGUCAAAACAUAAUAGUUGAUUUUCACGGUAGAAAGGAGAGUUUUUGAUCUUGAUGUGCUUGUGUGUGACACCUUUUCUGUUUUUCUGUUUCUUGUUCUUCCCUUGGUAUGAACUCAAAUUAUGUCGUAAGAUUGCAUGCGAGAGAGUUUGGGUGAGUAUUCAUUUUCUUUUGGAGGGGACCAGAGGAGUUGAAGUGCAACCUGUUGAUGUUUUUAUUCUGCGAGGAAAGGGUAAAUGGCCGCUGAUGUUCUUUUGAUCUUCAAUGGUUUAAUAUUCAUGAUUGGGUUGUGUUAAUCAAGGGGGUUGAAUUUGUUAAAGGGUCUUGUUUGCUUCGAAUUUGUUUCGUGUGGUUCCUGGGGUGAGUUAUAGAAGAAAGAAUGUAGAAGAAAGCUGCAAGAGAGCUUCGAGCAGGAUGCAUGAUAAUUUCUGAAUUUUUUAUUUUAGCCCCCAACUUUUGUCUAAUUGCAGUAUGGCCCAAAUCUUUUGUAAUUGAACCAUUCACGUCCCUAUUGAGUGUUCAUCUUCUCUUCAUAUUUUAAGUGCAUUUCUAAACAUGUUAUUUCUGUGAUUUGGGGUAUAAUUAAAUCUUAAUUUGUUUUAGUGGAUUUAUUAUCUUAUUGGGUUAUUGUAAAAUAGGUAGUUUGGGUUAAAGGUUUGUUUGGUCGGGUUUGGCUAAUGGGUUGUUAGUUUUUUUUUUUUUUUUGGGUUUUUGGCUUGGAUUUAGAAGGUAAAAGCCUACCCUUUUUGUUGGGUUUGUUUGGGGUAAGAUUAUGGUCUGACCCGUGCACUUUCCUUGGAUUUUCGUAAGGCUUGGGGUUUUCGGCCCAAACAAAUAAGAAAAGGGCCCAACAGUCUGUUAAGUCAAGAAGUCUGUGACGAUUUUUCAUUCCAGUCCCCUAAUUUUUGAGUAUUUUCACUACGGCCCUACAAACUUUUGACUUCUUCCACUUAGGUCCCUAAUUUAAUUGCAAAUUGGUCCUUGAACUUUAUCUUUCCUUCUAGUUUGGCCCUAAAGGUUCUAGAAAUCAUGAUUUGGCCCUAAAAACUUUCUGAUAUUUGUGAUUUGGUCCUUGGCAGAUUUAAUUUUGCAACUUCAUUGCUUGUUUGCUUCAAUUAGCCACCAUAUUUUGUUUAAACUGCAUUUAAUUCAUAAUUUUAAGGGCUUUAUGACCAAUUGAGCUUGUGUUUGCAUAUUUUCUUCAGUUUUCUCAAUUAAAGUGAUGCCUUGAUUCUUUCUUUGUUUUUGGAGGGUAAAUAAGUAAUUUCACUUCAUUAGGGUUUCAACUCAAGGGAGGUACACUCUAUCCCUUAUUUUGACUUUAUUUGAUCCUAUGUGCCCUAUGUGACUCUAUGUGCUUAAUUGCUUACCUUUUGAAUGUUUUCAUUUCAUUUAUUUAUUUAUUCGCUUUAUUUGUUUUAAUUUUGUAUACUUAUUUCAAUGUAAUUAUUUGAAAGGCAUUCAAAGGCCAAAGUUGUAAUAGUUAAGGGUUUAUUUAUUUUUAUUUUUCCCCUUUUAGAUUGUAGUAGGGCCCCCCAAUAUAAUAGUUAGGGCUUGUUUGCUUUAUUUGCUUGGUAUGUUUUGCAUGCUUAUGUGUUAUGUAUUAUCCGCUUUUUUAGGGCCUUGCAUCUAGAUAUCAUACUUAUGUGUUAUGUGCUAUACGUGAUUUAUGUGUUUACAUGCUUUUAUUAGGUCUUACAUGAUUUAUUUGAUUAUAACAAAUGCAUGUCGUCACUACACUAGUCCAACACUAGUUGUGACCCCCUUUCCCGAAUCCACACUAGUCCAACGCUAGUUGUGGCUCAUUGUUCUGAUUUUUCACUAGUCCAAUGCUAGUAGGAAUUCAUAGAUAUGAGCUAGUCCAACGCUAGACCCUUAGGAGCCCUUCGAGCGUUAGAUCAUGAUUGUGUGAUAAAAUCAUUUCAUCUCAUGCAUAUUUUUCACUUUCUAAGGUCUUUUAUCAUUUUUUGCAUGUUCCCCUUAUAUAUAUCCCCUAUCCCACAUUCCCUCUUAUAUUCGUAUCCCCUAUUUUUAUUUUUCCUUUAUAUAAAUCCUAUGUAUGAGACAUGACAUUAGAUUUGCAUUUCAUGUAGGGAAAAUUAGAGAUAGGUUAAUACAUUUGUUUGAUUAGAUUAGGAAAAACCCCUUGAGUAUGGGAUGUGGACAAGUUUGAUUUUCUAACCUUAGCACGCUCAUAUUCCCUCUGUUAAAGGGAAAAUUGAGUCACGAACAUUAGUCCCCCGUACCUGACAUGAUGCAUUUCUUUAGGACAUGUAUAUUUGUAUAAUUAUGAUUAUUUUUAUUAUUUUCCUUCCCUUUUCUUAGAGUCUCAUGUUUUUGCAUUAUUCGUGACUUCUUCGAAGAGUCUUUAUUGGGCAUCACAAUUAAUGUGAUUGGUAUCAAGUAAGUUUUGAAAAUAUAUUUCGACCCCUCGACACCCUCUUAGGUUUAGGGUUUGCAUUCAUAUAGUACGUCCAAAUGUGAUAAAUGCUUAGAUUAAAGAUAAGAAAAUCUUUGACUAAAUCACGCAACUAGUUUUGGCUAGGUUGAAAGGGUGUUUUGGAUUUUGUCCUUGCCUUCCCUUUCUUCAAAUGUGACUCCUGAACACGUUUCUUUGAUUUUCGUAAACUUGGAGUCGUUUAAAAAGGAUUUUUAACUUUUUCUUUAAAAAUUCAUUUUUAGGUGACUUGGUACACCUUAACUUUAUACCAAGUGGCGACUCCGAUUUUUAUUCAAAAAUCAUUUUUAAACUAUAAUUUGGGCCUUUCUUCAAAUGUGACUCCCGAACACGUUUCUUUGAUUUUCGUAGACUUGGAGUCGUUUAAAAAGGGUUUUCUACUUUUUCUUUAAAAAUUCAUUUUUGGGUGACUUGGUACACCUUAACUCUAUACCAAGUGGCGACUCCGAUUUUUAUUCAAAAAUCAUUUUUAAACUAUAAUUUGGGCCCAAAUCGUCGCAUUACAAAUCCCAUUUAGGCUCAUUUUCUUUUAAAUCAAAAAUUCAUUUUCCAAUCAAGAAUUGAAUUAAAAUUCAUUUUUUUAAACCAUUUAUUUUUCUUAUUUUUAAAAAAAUGGGAUGCCACAGUUUUUAGCAGCCGUUUGAUGUAUAUAACUACAACAAAUUACUUUGGAGUUUCCAAAACAUCAUGGAAGGCAUAACUAAUUACCAUUUCAGCUAGCAACAAUAUUCCAGCAAUAUUACUUCGGAUUUUCAAAAAAACUCCAUUCUUUUACUUGCUUACAGCUCUAAGCACUAAAUGUACAUUCGGUACAGUUUAAUCCAAGACAAAUAACACCUAGUUUCAACAACUUAUUCGAUCAAAUGUCAUUCUCAAAAUCUGUCAUCAUCAUUUGCAUUAGUCGUUAGCUCUUCCAACAGUAUGGCAGCUUAAAUUUGCAGCCUUUACUCCCUAAUUGCUUCGGUUAACUCUAACUUAUGGUGCCAAACACGUUUGCUAAUCACAGAGCAGUUUUAGCUAUCAUCUGUGCAAGUUUAUGGUGUCAGAAAUUGGAGGAAAUGUUGUUCCAGAAUUUAUUUCCCUCUCUCUCAACAUCACAGCAGGUUGCAUCAGCUUCCUUUUACCAAGUUUAGCUAGACUUCCUGAAAUUUUCUGACUUCCUAAGGCUCCUAUCUGUUCGGUCAAAGGUUUAACAAAUUUUCCAUGUAUUCAUUAAUAAGAGUUCCAGAAUCAGCAACAACAAUUGCACAGCCUGCUUCAUUCCCUCGGCCAACUACCUGCAAUCAGUUAAGUGUAUUUGUCCUGUUAUGUUCAUUCUAGUUUCUACUUGUUUCUUGCUCGUUGAAGUUUAAGGUCUGUGUGAUAUGUUACAACUUACUACACAGGCCUAGAAACUAAGGGUUGCAGGGAACAACUAGAAUCUCUUAUCUGUUCUGCUCAAUCAAAACCAACAGGUUUUGAAAGGUAGUGAUUUUGCAGCUGGUGCUUCCUUUUUUAUUCUCCCUCAGUUUAUAUCCUAGCUAAACUUAUAGAAUGUAUUGAUUUAACUGCAAGUUAUCCUAAGCCAAACAUGACAGUUUAUGGUUAGGAUUCAAAAGGAAACUGGAUUAUGUCUUAGGUCGGCGCAUGGCUGCAAAUUCUGAUGCACAGCAACCUGCAUCAGGUUUCUUUCCUCAGUCGAAGCUCAGUUUCUCUACUCAAACACUACUUGCAGCUUAUUCAUUCAUUCAUUUUUACCGAAUCAGCAUGAGGUUAUUGCAGAUUCUUAACAUUAUCAUCCCAAGAAAUAUUAAGAACAGUUACAAGUUCCAGUUUCUGCAAUUUCGCUUUUCUUGCAGUUUUACAAUUCCUGCACGACAUUUACUUCAGCAAAAAGCUCAAAUUCCUAGCUAAAUUUAACAUGCAGCUAGAGUUUAUCCAAUUAUACCAACUAAGCAGUGAGUUGUUAUAAGAUCUUACCUCUUUCCCCCUAAAGUUCGAUGUUGCAGGGUGCUCAAGUUUCUGUUUCAGCUCCUCAAGUCCUAACACUCGAUUCUCCCGUUUUCCUUACCUUCGUUUGCUUGAUUGUGGUUAGCUGAUGAAGAAGCUAGCCAAAUUGUCCUUCCCUCACACUCUAUUCCACUCCCUCGGUUCUGUUUUGUAGAGAUUGAAAGAAAGAGAGAAAGGAAGAGCUGUCUAGUUUCUUUGCUCUCGGUCACCGCCCAACUAAUGAAUCAGUUUCUAUUUGCUCCACUCAGUCACCGCUUAAACUUAGCAGAUGAUUUCUCUUUGUUUUCUCUCGGGUCUUAUUGAUUAAGAAUGACAAGAUUGUUUCCAUUCGGUGGCUAGUGGCAG
RNAcentral lists this long non-coding RNA (7401 nucleotides) under Coffea arabica (coffee). RNAcentral's name for it is "long non-coding RNA (CARA_LNC008042)". Lineage: Eukaryota; Viridiplantae; Streptophyta; Magnoliopsida; Gentianales; Rubiaceae. The record is from RNAcentral.